RNAcentral lists this unclassified non-coding RNA (4044 nucleotides) under Amphibalanus amphitrite. RNAcentral describes it as "acyl-coenzyme A thioesterase 9, mitochondrial-like, transcript variant X4". The record is from RNAcentral. Lineage: Eukaryota; Metazoa; Arthropoda; Thecostraca; Balanomorpha; Balanidae.
CUGUUGCUUUUCGAUAUUUAUUGUUAUUUGCUCUAAAUUGACAUAGUUGAAUUCAUUUCUAUAAAAUAGCAAGAAUAUUGAAAAAUUUCUUUUAAGUAUUUUGAUAAUUUAAAUUUAGUACGUAAUAUAUUGUAAAUAUCAGGGUGCUUACAAACACAAACAACUUUUCGACGACGGGAAAAUAACAUUUUACACACUGUGCAUUUUACUCAAAUUUUACUGAGGGCCAACCCAAGGCGGAUUUUGGAUUUUACCACAACAAAGUGACCAGCCCUGUCUGUAAUAAUAUAUGUAUGUCUGUUUAUCUGUGAGAAUCUUGGACCAGCCUUGACAACGAAGGUGGUGUGGUUGGUUCCCAGGCAGGCAGGCUGCUGAGGCCGUGAGACUGGAGACAUAGUCGUAGUCCAACAGAAGUGCAUUUGCGGUGCAUCCAUUUUGGCACAUAUCUAUCUCAAAAGCCAGUCAGCCAUGUUCAGUCAUUGCAUUAGAAGUGGUUUGGCUCUGUUCAAAUCAGCCGUGCCGGUCCGACACAUCUGCAUCACAAGGACCGUGCGCCGACAAACCGUCCAGGAUGUGAUCGCCCGUCUGGAGUCAGUGACGGGCGCCCAGACGUCCUUCUCAUCCCCUGCCGAGGACCGUGCGGCUCUGGAGGCGAUCCUGCCCCGCUCACAGGCCGAGCUGCCCGGACGGCGCAUGGCAGACAGCUAUGACGAGGCCUACAUCCCGCUCGGAAAGGAUCUGGCACUGCGGGAGAAGUACAUCAACUACAUGGGCGGAGUGCGCACCGGCAGACUCAUGGAGGAUAUCGACGUGUUUGCUGUGUGGCUGUGCUACAAGUACGUGAAGAACCCCAAGCAGCUGCCCAACAUGCCCAGCCCGUUCUGCAUCGUCACCGCGCUGGUGGAUCGGAUGGACUUCACUGCGCACAACCUCAAGCCGGACGAGGACAUCCGUCUGUCCGGCAAGGUGACGUACGUGGGCACCAGCUCCCUGGAGACCACCGUGGUGCUGGAGCAGCUGGACGGUGGCCACUGGGAGCCCAUCACCAAGGCAGAGAUGGUGAUGGUGGCGCGCGACCCGCUCAACACUGGAUCGGCCGUGGUCAACCCGCUGGUGGCCGAUACUCCAGAGGAGCAGGAGAUGGUCAAAGUCGGAAAAGUGAACAAGGUGCGCCGUAAGCGGAUGGCCGAGCAGUCGCUGUUCAAGCUGCCGCCGACGCAGUCAGAGGUGGCACUCAUCCACCAGGUGUUCAUCGACACCGUCGACCACGGCACGUUCCGACAGCGCCGGCCCGAGAACGCCCUCUUCAUGAGCGAGACCAAGCUGAAGAACCUCAUCAUUUGCCAUCCGGAGCACCGGAACCGUUUCGGGCGAAUCUUUGGCGGUUUUCUCAUGCGCCAGGCGAUUGAGCUUGGCUGGGCGAACGCCAUGGUCGCUAGCGGUAGCCGGCCGCGUCUGACCCACGUGGACGACAUCCUGUUCCGGAAGCCGGUCGACGUCGGCUCUCUGCUCUACCUCCUCUCUCGGGUGAGCGAGUGACGUCACAACUCUGUCGCUGAGUUGGUGUGUGACGUCACAGGAUGUGUGGCAUCACCGGUCUGGGUUUUGAUUUAUGUGCUUGCUUGUUUCUGAGCACUUUGCAUGUUCGGCUGGUGCCCGGUUCUCGCAGCUCGGUUGCACAUGGUUGAUGAUUUCAUUGAUUUGACAUAUGUCUUACUUAUGCCAAUAAGGUCAUCAUGUCGACGCUGCUCGUUGGCCAAUUUAAGUUUGUGUUUAGUAUGUGCGUUACAUUAUCAGCAGCAGCCAACAUUGGAGCCUAGGUACCAGUUUCCAUGCUGAGUACCCUGUACUCUGAUAUUAUCCAUUUUCAGUGUUUUCUGUCGCCGGUGACGUUUCCGGAAAGGCAUCUCUUCAAUGGUCUGGCCAGUUCCGGCUGAAUGUAGCUAAUUGGCGCGAACAACGCUGAACACCGCGGAAAGCUUGCGGUUCACCUCAGCUGAUGGUGUAUUCUUACAGUGUUUCUCAUAAUAAAAAGCAAUAUAACUGAACCAUUGUCACCAAUCUCAAGAGUCAAGUAGCUCGUCGUUUUUGCAAUAGCAUUUCCAGUUUGAUCACACUGCCCUUUGCUAUUGCCGCUCUCAUUUCCAGCACUGCUCUCAUCUGUUCAUCAUGUGACUGGUUUCCAGUAUCCGAGACUCGAUCGGUCUGCACGACACACCUUUAGCAGUCUGCCCCCUACCUCAGGUGGUGUACACGGAAGGUAACAACCUGCAGCUGUGCGUCUCAGCCGAGGUGGUCGACCCACGGCUGGGCACCAAGGACCUCACCAACGUCUUCUACUUCACGUUCACCACCAAGGAGCCGGUCAAGCCGAUCCUGCCGCAGACUUACCACGAGAUGAUGAUGUAUCUGGACGGGCGGCGACACUACCAGGCUCUCAUGGGCGAGAAGAAGUUCUACGGCCAAGCCGACACAGAGGCUGAUGCCCACAGUGGCAUGUAGACUGUGAGAAGGCGGCGAAGAGGCCCUGCGUGCUAACAGCGGCAUGUAGCCUGUGGAAGAGCGACAAGAGGCCCUGCGUGCGAACAGUUGCAUGUAGGUGGGAACGAGCUUUGAGUGUGACCCACAACGGAGGAUAAGUGUAGUACGGGGUCCAGUCGUCCUGUGUGCCCACAGGAGCGCAUAUGGUGUGAGGAGCGCAAAAGGUGUCCCGCUCAGCGGCAUAUAAUCAGGUGACGAGUGCCUAGCCUUCCGUCGUUUACGGGAGUUUGGUAUCGCCGAGCUGACACCCACGCAAUGUUCGGGAUACACGAGGUGUCCUGAUCUACAGGAGACUUCGGACCCUGAUUAUAAAACCCGAGAAAGGCACCGUGGCGGUACUCGAUUCAUCCAAGCUCCGGCUGGGAAUUCAGUCAAGUGGCCGUUGUGACCGUGGCUUAUAACUGUGUGGGAGUGGUAAUACGGCUAUGCCUCAGAGGUCACCCCGCCGCCCUGACGUGUGUCUGGGAGGCUCUGUGAGACUCCUGCCGGACAGGUGCGAGGGUGGACCUCCCAUGGAAGGUUGAUGGUGGGUCCGGGGACCGGUGAUGGGCGACAGGGUGUGUACUAGUGAUAUAGUGACACCUUCACAUAAUAACCCCGGCCGGCUGUCGACGCAUCAUAGAACCCUACCAACAGAGUGACACCUUCCACUCUGUAACCACCGUGGACUAAGGAACUGGACUGUGGAUGCCACCCCAGUGUCCGCUGUGUGUGACCUUGUGAGAUUUUGUGUGCGAUCUAUCUGUCCUGCUGCUAUCAGAGCGACUGGUAUGAGAGUCGAACGGUACUGGCAGAUCGAGCGGGUCCUUCGUCCUGGCAUUUCGGUCAUAUCGCUGUCUGCCAGUGUGAGAUUUAAACUGUCAGCUGAGACAGUGCCGGGUUGUGAGGACGAUUGCAGGACACAUAACACAGAGCGCUUAAGCAGGAGUUGGAUUCUACUUCAGCGAGGUUCUUUGUAACCGGAGACGAAUGCUUUACCUUGAUCGGGUCUGUGGACUGCCUUUUGGUGUCUGCUUGGUUUUAACUCUACUGUUGCAUCCCUAGUGACUAGUACGCUUAUAAUAGCUGGAAGCAUGGAGCUGGUUUGCGUUGUGCAUUUAUCUAUCCGACAUCAUCUUAUUUCGUACUCACAAUACGUUUCAUUUUGUUUCAUUGCUGUUACAAAUAAUCCAGUAUUCACAUGGUUGUCCUAGCAAUGCUAUAGGUAGGUACUCAUUUCUGGUUUCUCGUCUCGCGAAUGCUGUCAUCAUUGUCUUGUUCGUGUUGAUUGACAUUCUUCUGCCACUUAUGUAAUGUAUGCAUAUUACUUCCUCAGUGGUUGUGUUGUCGGCGUUUCGUGACACCAGUGAGAUCAUAGUUUAUUUCUCUCGAAUGCCGAAGUAACUGACCUGAGUGGUUUUGGCUAGUCAGAUUGCUGGUUGUUUUUUGUUUUUACUAGGUCAAAAAUGUCACAGGUGUGGUGCACGCCUAAAGCCUAACAAUACACGCAUUUUCGAACCCGAA